GUUCUUUUUUGCUGUUUCGGGUAUAUCAUUGCUAACAUCUUCAUUUGCAUUGGUUUCACUUGUGGACUCUAACGUUGUGGAGAAACCACCAUUUUCUGGCUGGUUUUCAUCACCGGAAGACCUGUUUUGCUGAGAUAACUCACUACUGCCAAUAUUUACAGUAUCUCUGGUAUUGCUUUGACCACUCAAACUGUUCUUACCACCAUCACCCUCAUUCCCCGUACAAUUGGAUACACCCUCUGUGUUCU
Molecule: unclassified non-coding RNA, 248 nt
Filed under: Hevea brasiliensis (rubber tree)
Lineage: Eukaryota; Viridiplantae; Streptophyta; Magnoliopsida; Malpighiales; Euphorbiaceae
Source: RNAcentral